AUUGAACGCUGGCGGCGUGCUUAACACAUGCAAGUCGAUCGGUAACAGGUGUAGCAAUACACGCUGACGAGAGGCGGACGGGUGAGGAACGCUUGGGAAUCUGCCCUUCAGCGGGGGACAACCCGGGGAAACUCGGGCUAAUACCGCAUACGCUCCACGGAGGAAAGCCGGGGACCGCAAGGCCUGGCACUGAAGGAUGAGCCCAAGUCGGAUUAGCUAGUUGGCGGGGUAACGGCCCACCAAGGCGACGAUCCGUAGCUGGUCUGAGAGGACGAUCAGCCACACUGGGACUGAGACACGGCCCAGACUCCUACGGGAGGCAGCAGUGGGGAAUAUUGGACAAUGGGGGAAACCCUGAUUCAGCGACGCCGCGUGGGUGAAGAAGGCCUGCGGGUUGUAAAGCCCUUUCGGUAGGGACGAAAGCCUCCGACCCAAUACGUCGGAGGGUUGACUUAACCUACAGAAGAAGCACCGGCUAACUCUGUGCCAGCAGCCGCGGUAAUACAGAGGGUGCGAGCGUUAAUCGGAAUUACUGGGCGUAAAGCGCACGUAGGCGGCUUGGUAUGUCGGGUGUGAAAUCCCCGGGC
RNAcentral lists this ribosomal RNA (587 nucleotides) under uncultured bacterium. RNAcentral describes it as "bacterial SSU rRNA". It matches the Rfam family "Bacterial small subunit ribosomal RNA", at positions 28 to 608 of the family's 1533-position model. The record is from RNAcentral.